RNAcentral lists this ribosomal RNA (481 nucleotides) under uncultured bacterium. Its description in RNAcentral is "partial 16S ribosomal RNA". It matches the Rfam family "Bacterial small subunit ribosomal RNA", at positions 28 to 507 of the family's 1533-position model. The record is from RNAcentral.
GAUGAACGCUGGCGGCGUGCCUAACACAUGCAAGUCGAACGGAGAUUACGGACGGAAGUUUUCGGAUGGAAGACUGUAAUUCUUAGUGGCGGACGGGUGAGUAACGCGUGGGCAACCUGCCCUAUACAGGGGGAUAGCAGCUGGAAACGGCUGGUAAGACCGCAUAAGUCGGCGAGACCGCAUGGUUUUGCCGGGAAAUGAGCAAUCAGGUAUAGGAUGGGCCCGCGUCCGAUUAGCCAGUUGGCAGGGUAAAAGCCUACCAAAGCAACGAUCGGUAGCCGGACUGAGAGGUCGGACGGCCACAUUGGGACUGAGACAUGGCCCAAACUCCUACGGGAGGCAGCAGUGGGGGAUAUUGCACAAUGGAGGAAACUCUGAUGCAGCGACGCCGCGUGAGUGAAGAAGUAUUUCGGUAUGUAAAGCUCUAUCAGCAGGGAAGAUGAUGACGGUACCUGACUAAGAAGCCCCGGCUAACUACGUG